Molecule: ribosomal RNA, 867 nt
Filed under: Verrucomicrobia bacterium SCGC AAA240-F09
Lineage: Bacteria; Pseudomonadati; Verrucomicrobiota
Description: SSU rRNA
Rfam family: Bacterial small subunit ribosomal RNA
Source: RNAcentral
GACGCUGGCGGCGUGGAUAAGACAUGCAAGUCGAGCGAUGAUCCAACGAUAGCAAUAUUGGAGGGGAUUAGCGGCGAACGGGUGAGUAACACGUAGGAAUCUGCCCUGAAGUUCGGAAUAGCCCGGUGAGAGUCGGGAUAAUACCGGAUGUGAUCUUCGGAUUAAAGGCUUCGGCCGCUUCAGGAUGAGCCUGCGCUCCAUCAGCUUGUUGGUAGGGUAAAAGCCUACCAAGGCGAGGACGGAUAGCUGGUCUGAGAGGACGGCCAGCCACAAUGGAACUGAGACACGGUCCAUACACCUACGGGUGGCAGCAGUCGAGAAUCAUUCACAAUGGGCGAAAGCCUGAUGGUGCGACGCCGCGUGGGGGAUGAAGGCCUUCGGGUCGUAAACCCCUGUCGGUUGCGAGUAAGGCUCUACUUACGUAGGGAUUGAUAUUAGCAACAAAGGAAGGGGCGGCUAACUCCGUGCCAGCAGCCGCGGUAAUACGGAGGCCCCAAGCGUUGUUCGGAUUUACUGGGCGUAAAGCGUGCGUAGGCGGCGAGGUAAGUUUGGCGUGAAAGCCCCGGGCCCAACCCGGGAAAUGCGCUGAAAACUGCUUCACUAGAGGUGUGGAGGGGAGUCUGGAAUUCCUGGUGUAGCAGUGAAAUGCGUAGAUAUCAGGAGGAACAUCAGUGGCGAAGGCGAGACUCUGGAAACAUUCUGACGCUGAGGUACGAAGGCUAGGGUAGCGAAGAGGAUUAGAUACCCUCGUAGUCCUAGCAGUAAACGGUGUGCACUUGCUGUGGGGGGAUUCGACCCCUUCCGUGGCGAAGCUAACGCAUUAAGUGCACCGCCUGGGGAGUACGGCCGCAGGUAACUAAUGAUACG